UACGUAGGGGGCGAGCGUUAUCCGGAGUUACUGGGCGUAAAGGGCGCGUAGGCGGCUUGCUCAGCCUGCUGUGGAAGCCCUGGGCUUACCCUGGGGAGGCCAGUGGGGACUGGUGAGCUAGAGGGAGGCAGAGGGUCGUGGAACUGGCGGUGGAGCGGUGAAAUGCGUAGAGAUCGCCAGGAACACCGGUGGUGAAGACGGCGACCUGGGCCUUUUCCUGACGCUGAGGCGCGACAGCGAGGGGAGCGAACGGG
Molecule: ribosomal RNA, 254 nt
Filed under: uncultured bacterium
Lineage: Bacteria
Description: partial 16S ribosomal RNA
Rfam family: Bacterial small subunit ribosomal RNA
Source: RNAcentral